GUCUGGGGGACAGCCUCUCCAUCCAUGCUGUCCCCAUGGGGGAACAGCCUUUCCUUUCAUGCUGUCCUCCCAGGGAACUGCUCCCCACCUUGCUGUUCCACCUUGCUAUCCUCCUGGCCACUCUCAACAUUACUUUCUAAAUUAAUAAAUCUCCUUUUGUUUUUAAGCUAAGUUUUGGAGUCAUUGCAUGCUUGCAAAAGGCAUCCUUCCCGAACCCAAAGGCUAUCCUUCCAUGCCCAUAACAUUUUUGAUGCCCAACGUGUUUGGCUUUCCUGAAAGCUACACCUGUACCCCGGAUCGUCCACGAGGACACAACUUCUCAGGUCAAGAAAUCAAUAAAAUAAUAAAUCAAGUCCAGAUUUUUAGAAUUUGCUGAGUUCUUCCAUCAGGGAAAUUGAAGGUCCCAGAAUGAAGAUGCCUGGAAAUAGCUGGAAGACAAAGGUGUUCCAAGCAGAGGAGUGAAUAUAUGAGAACUCCUGGACCUUAAUCUCCACAUCAACCAUUGAGUCAACAUGGAGCCGUAGGCAAGCCAACUCACCAAAUCUGUUCCAUUGUCUCUAAGAUGAAUGGAUAUUAAUACUUCCUGACAUUUGAGAAAGAUUGUAUGGUGUGAU
RNAcentral lists this long non-coding RNA (614 nucleotides) under Monodelphis domestica (gray short-tailed opossum). Its description in RNAcentral is "lncRNA (ENSMODG00000045102.1)". The record is from RNAcentral. Lineage: Eukaryota; Metazoa; Chordata; Mammalia; Didelphimorphia; Didelphidae.